AACAUACCUAAACGUUGCUUCGGCGGGAACAGACGGCCCCGUGAAACGGGCCGCCCCCGCCAGAGGACCCCUAACUCUGUUUCUAUAAUGUUUCUUCUGAGUAAAACAAGCAAAUAAAUUAAAACUUUCAACAACGGAUCUCUUGGCUCUGGCAUCGAUGAAGAACGCAGCGAAAUGCGAUAAGUAAUGUGAAUUGCAGAAUUCAGUGAAUCAUCGAAUCUUUGAACGCACAUUGCGCCCGCCAGUAUUCUGGCGGGCAUGCCUGUUCGAGCGUCAUUACAACCCUCAGGCCCCCGGGCCUGGCGUUGGGGAUCGGCGGAGCCCCCCGUGGGCACACGCCGUCCCCCAAAUACAGUGGCGGUCCCGCCGCAGCUUCCAUCGCGUAGUAGCUAACACCUCGCGACUGGAGAGCGGCGCGGCCACGCCGUAAAACACCCAACUCUCUGAA
This 448-nucleotide unclassified non-coding RNA is filed under the name Fusarium solani. Its description in RNAcentral is "sequence contains 18S rRNA gene, ITS1, 5.8S rRNA gene, ITS2, 28S rRNA gene". The stretch from base 123 to 276 matches the Rfam family "5.8S ribosomal RNA". Lineage: Eukaryota; Fungi; Ascomycota; Sordariomycetes; Hypocreales; Nectriaceae. The record is from RNAcentral.